This 519-nucleotide ribosomal RNA is filed under the name Pressatia camposi. RNAcentral's name for it is "SSU rRNA". It matches the Rfam family "Eukaryotic small subunit ribosomal RNA", at positions 1332 to 1773 of the family's 1831-position model. Lineage: Eukaryota; Metazoa; Arthropoda; Insecta; Diptera; Psychodidae. The record is from RNAcentral.
CGAACGAGACUCAAACUUUUUUAAAUAGAUGCUUGCAGGUUUAUGACGCUGAAACUAUGUGCGUGGGUGCUUUGGUUGUGCAAGCAAUCAUUGUGUUUAUGUGCAUGGUGGAGUUAUACCUGUUUGGUUUGUCUUAAGAGGACACUUUGCUUCUUAAAUGGACAAAAUGCGUCUAGCAUUAAUGAGAUUGAGCAAUAACAGGUCUGUGAUGCCCUUAGAUGUCCUGGGCUGCACGCGCGCUACAAUGAAGGUAUCAAUGUGUUUUAUCCUUGACCGAGAGGUAUGGGUAAACAUUGAACCACCUUCUUGGUUGGGAUUGUGGACUGUAACUGUUCACAUGAACCCGGAAUUCCCAGUAAGUGUGAGUCAUAAGCUUGCAUUGAUUACGUCCCUGCCCUUUGUACACACCGCCCGUCGCUACUACUGAUGAAUUGUUUAGUGAGGUCUCUGGACGUGUGCGCCGAAAUACUCCUGUAGUAAUUUGGUUUGUUACACAGAAGUUGACCGAACUUGAUUAUU